GACGAACGCUGGCGGCGUGCUUAACACAUGCAAGUCGAACGCUGAAGCUCAGCUUGCUGGGUGGAUGAGUGGCGAACGGGUGAGUAACACGUGAGUAACCUGCCCCCUUCUUUGGGAUAACGCCCGGAAACGGGUGCUAAUACUGGAUAUUCACUGAUCUUCGCAUGGGGGUUGGUGGAAAGGUUUUUUCUGGUGGGGGAUGGGCUCGCGGCCUAUCAGCUUGUUGGUGGGGUGAUGGCCUACCAAGGCUUUGACGGGUAGCCGGCCUGAGAGGGUGACCGGUCACAUUGGGACUGAGAUACGGCCCAGACUCCUACGGGAGGCAGCAGUGGGGAAUAUUGCACAAUGGGCGAAAGCCUGAUGCAGCGACGCCGCGUGAGGGAUGGAGGCCUUCGGGUUGUAAACCUCUUUCGCUCAUGGUCAAGCCGCAACAUUGGUUGUGGUGAGGGUAGUGGGUAAAGAAGCGCCGGCUAACUACGU
RNAcentral lists this ribosomal RNA (480 nucleotides) under uncultured bacterium. RNAcentral's name for it is "partial 16S ribosomal RNA". It matches the Rfam family "Bacterial small subunit ribosomal RNA", at positions 28 to 506 of the family's 1533-position model. The record is from RNAcentral.